Molecule: long non-coding RNA, 1348 nt
Filed under: Setaria italica (foxtail millet)
Lineage: Eukaryota; Viridiplantae; Streptophyta; Magnoliopsida; Poales; Poaceae
Description: long non-coding RNA (SITA_LNC001959)
Source: RNAcentral
UGGCAUUAUGUGUAUCACUUAACUCCGAUGGCGGAAAUUCGACUGGUAGAAGUAUAUCGUUACACGACCAUUGCAGCAAGAACACGGAACUAGGUCAUAGAUCAAUAUGAAAAAUCGCAUAUCUCCAUAUGCACACAUCUCGAAUCCAUAACAAAACAGCUACAGCUUUGAUACCACUGUUGGGAUAUGAGGUAGGCUACGCUAGUGCAAAAUAAAAAAAAUUUCUACCGUGUAAAACAAAAAAACUGCCGUUAUAGAUCACGGGAUUACCACUCGACGCACAGGUGCGGAAGUUGUAGAUACAUGUCGGGACAGCGAAGUCGAUCACACAUUGACGCAGUGUAGUCGAACACGUCGACUUCGAGCAGCUCCUCAGCAGCUCGUCCACGUGCAGCGACUCCCUCCUCGUGUCGCAGCUCGUCAGGCUCGUUGUCGGCUCGUCAGGUUCCUCGUCGGAGCUCUCGUGCGGCGGCUCGUCCAAGUGCUGCAGAUGCAACACCUCCAAGGUAUCCACACGUGCGGGGAGGAAGCGUCGCAAGCCGGACUGCUAGAUCUGUGAGUUGCAACAAGACGAUGGCGUGGGAGGCGCGGCUGCUCCUGGUGCGAAAAGGGAUUGAACCCUAGGGCGCCCCCCACCCCUCAAUAUAUAGGGGUUCCUAACGGGCCUCUGGUCCGAGGCCUAUUAGUACUUCUAAACUUGGUCCAAUUCAGAUCACAUCCAAAUUGGACUUUCAGCCCUUUAAGUGUGUGACCCUAUAGGUUCAUAUACGUAUAGACAUAGACCGAGUACUCCUACUCGGCCCAUAGUUAGUAGCGACCUCUAGCAAGACAUACUAACUCCUAUACACACACGAAGAUCAUAUCAGACGAACUAUCACAACAUCAUGUACAUGCUAUUCCCUUUGCCUCACGAUAUUUGAUCUAGCUCCAAGCAGACCACUCUUUCUCGACGCUAUGAUUCGGAAUCUCUUUCUAGGUUAACUCUUAACCUCACGUAGCAUGGUCAUGCAUUUCCGAAUCCGAUCACUCGAGGGGCCCAAAGGUAUCUCUCUCAAAUGGAGAGGGGCAAAUUCCAUCUUGACUGACCAUACCUCACAGCAUGCUUCGUGACAAACCCGAAAGCUACCUUUAUAACUACUUAGUUACGGUGCAGCGUUUGAUAGUCUCUAAGUAAGUCGAUCCACAUCUUGAGUACAUGCGACAAUCUCAGGUUUAAGGAUAAAGCGUACAUGUUGUGUAAAGAGAACUAUGUAACUAGCGUUGGGUCAGUCCUAGCACAUGUCUCUACACGUGCCCACGUUAUUAGUUUGACAUCUCCAUGUCCAUGACUUGUGAAACAUAGUCAUCA